Molecule: non-coding RNA, 25 nt
Filed under: Arabidopsis thaliana (thale cress)
Lineage: Eukaryota; Viridiplantae; Streptophyta; Magnoliopsida; Brassicales; Brassicaceae
Source: RNAcentral
GCAGGUUUGCCCGAGUGGUUAAGGG